UCGCAGUGAUGACGACUUUCCCUGCCAUUCGUAGUUUCCACCAGAGGUCACCAGACCGAUGACGGCCCAACCUUCCUUGGAUGUCUGAGCGA
Small nucleolar RNA from Platichthys flesus (European flounder), 92 nucleotides. RefSeq annotates it as small nucleolar RNA SNORD14. The transcript has a single exon. The record is from RefSeq and is a predicted model, not a curated record. Lineage: Eukaryota; Metazoa; Chordata; Actinopteri; Pleuronectiformes; Pleuronectidae.